CAGUAGCCACGGUAAUACGUAGGGUGCGAGCGUUAAUCGGAAUUACUGGGCGUAAAGCGUGCGCAGGCGGUUCGUUAAGACAGAUGUGAAAUCCCCGGGCUUAACCUGGGGACUGCGCUUAAUACAGGCAGUCUAGAGUGAGGAAGAGGGUUGUGGAAUUCCCAGUGUAGAGGUGAAAUUCGUAGAUAUUGGGAAGAACACCGGUGGCGAAGGCGGCAACCUGGUCCUUGACUGACGCUGAGGCGCGAAAGCGUGGGGAGCAAACAGGAUUAGAUACCCCGGUAGUCCCUGUCUCUUAUAC
This 301-nucleotide ribosomal RNA is filed under the name uncultured bacterium. RNAcentral describes it as "partial 16S ribosomal RNA". It matches the Rfam family "Bacterial small subunit ribosomal RNA", at positions 509 to 807 of the family's 1533-position model. The record is from RNAcentral.